ACAAGGAAAGUCCGACCUGUUCAUGUCCAGUUACCACCAUUCGACCAAGCUGAACUUCAUGAGUCCACACGCCGGUAUCCCGUCAUCAUCAGCCAGCAUCUUUCCUUCGCCGACUUCCUACUGGACAAACCCGAGCGCCAACCUCUACUCCAACAUCGCGGCGGCCUCCAGCCACUCGAUGACGCACCACCCGAGCCACGUGACUUCACACCUCGGAUCGUAUCCGCACUAUGCAUGACCAGAUCCCGGAUGGACCAGGGAAUACAGGCGACUGGCAAUGUAAACUGCGCGCAGAGUAAGUGAGGAAGAAAUGAGCAUUUGCUUGCCAGAUCACGAGGUAUCUUCUCUGAGGAGUGCUGCGACAGUACUUUACAUAGGCUAUGGCGUAUCUUCCUCCAUUGGUCGAAAUUUAUCCUCCAGUUUAUGCUAGACACCUUUUGAAGUUGGUGUAGCGUCGAUUACCUACGACUCAAUACAUCACACACAAUGACCGAGAAGAACGAAAAAUUUACAAACGCGAGAUUUGACAGGAAGACUGUCGGUCUUCACAGAUUUGGUGAAGAAUUGCUUGUUCUUUCUCAUACGUUUGCUGAUACCAAUUUUUUUUAGAUAUUUAUUUCAUAAUCUGAAGUACAGAUAGAAAGAUCUGCGCUUUGCCUUUGAUAAGAAAAUGCGAGAAAUACGUUAAUCUCGUACUUAAAACAUUUCUUUCGCUGAUUAUAAAACAUUGGGUCAUCCUUGUAUCCCAGUGUAUAGACGUAGUGCUCAUGUUUUUUCAUAAUACUUAUUAAACGGAAUUCGACGUGUAAAUAACGCUAAAGCAAACCUUGCUACGUUAUGAUGAACUUUAAAAUUCCUAUAUUUGGUCAUCCAAAUACGAACAUUUAUUAAAAUAAAUGUAUUUAACACGCUUAUUAUUGUUUCAGUGGAAACCUUUUAUUAUUUUUGUCGGGAAUUAAACACGGGUCUUCCUGGAAUAGUAAAAUUUCACCUGAAGGCGACUUACCUCAAAUCUGAAUACGUUUAUGAUUUUACUUUUUAGAUUGGUUUUGAAUCGUGGCAUUACAUCGCUUUCCUCAUAACACAAGCGAUAUAAAUGAAUAAUUGUCCUUAUAAGAUGCGAUUCAAUACAGAAUUACUUUUAAAAAUCAUGAAGACAGGAAAAUGCAUAUACUGUGUAUUUAACGAGCAAACAAGAAAGUAAAAAUAACAUAUUUUAACUUGUGACGAUAGAACCGGAACUAUGUUGGUAUUCUCGCGAGGGUGUAAGCGUAUUCCUGAGUUAAAUAUAAUUUAUAUUUCAAACAGGCUAUUUAUUCCGAACUCCAAUUAGUUAUAGAAGCAAGCUCUGGUCCUCUUGAUGUUUUGAAAUUUAGUUUCUUUUGUUCCUUUAUCAGAUGACUUCGAUUGCAUUUUUCAAUAUUUUCUAACUAAAUUAGUAUCGGCAAUAUAUUUACACAUACUGAUGAUGAGGCCUGUGUUGUUAAUAGGAAAAUUAAUUUUAACUUGCCGAAUAUGAGAUUUUAUUUUAUAUAUUAGCAUAUUUGUUUACAACUGUAUGUGUAUCAUUCAUUAGUAUUAUUAUUUUUGUAUCUGAUCGAUCACAUUUAUGAAACUUGCAUUGCUUUAUAAUUAUUUACGUUAUAUUUUAAUUUACGUUUACAACCUUUAUGCCGCGUAUUUAUUUUAUGGACAUUUAAAGAACCCAGAUUUCCUAUAUAGUAGAAUGCAGCACUUUUUUUUCCUUCAAAUAUUGCACUGCCUUCUAUUGCUGGCUCGGUCUGUUCAUUCUGAGUAUUUCUCCUCGGCGUCAGGAAAUCCGCCAUGCUGUGCGUAUCAGAACUUGGUGCUAAUAGUUUAAUAUUUGUUGUAAGUCCUAAAUUCAGCUCCACCUUGUUUAAACAUUAAACAUUUACUUCUCAACCAGAAAUCACUGUUGCGGUAUUGACCUUCUCGUUCAAAUAGAGCAGGCCACUCGAACUCAUAUGAUUUCUGAGGUCCUACUCACUUGACGGGGAAGGAAAUAAUAGCACGGUAAGAGUGCUUAGAAUUUAAUUACACACUAAAUAAUUAAUUGUAAUAAAGGUUAAUUUAUGUUUCAUUAAUUAGUUAUGUUUUAUAAUUUUAAAAUAUAAUUUGAUUUUGGUAAUAACAAGCGUGAGAGAAGAAUUUCAACGUCCUUCUUAACCAUCAUUUCAUCAUUGCUUCAUAGCGGUGACCACAUUAAUAAACCGUCGGUCCUAAGUUAGGGGUUUCACUUCUGACCUGGCACUUUACUGGUCUCGGUGUAAAAGUUGUUUUAUUCAGUCAAAUACGUGGUUUAUGUCGACUUUGUUAUGAGCAUAUUCAUAUCUUUAACGUGAUUAUUUUAUGAUCUAUACAUAGCAUGCACAGUUAAUUUAAUUUUACUAUUUGUUAAUUUAUUUAUAUUUUAAUUGUAUUUUAACUGCUCAAAUUAAUUGAAUUAUUUGAUACCGUUAGAUUGCAGAAAAACACCAAGGCAAUUUACGGUCUAAUUCUGCUAUACAAAACAUAGGCCUACACACACACACACACACAUAUGUAUAUAUACAGGUGACUUUUCUUUGUUUUUGAACGUCGUAAUUGUGAGCGCCCGAGAACUUGCCUACUUAUAACUGAAUGGGUGUGAAAAUAAUCUUCUUUUCUCGUAUCUUAAUACUGAGCAAUAACGUUCUGUAGGUAUUCCAGGAAAAAGAAUGUUAAAAACAAAGUAAGCAGUGUUUGUAGUAUUAUUUCUACAAUUUGCCAAAACAUUCUAAAGCCAAUACUGGUUUCAUUCACAACAAAAAUAAAUUUAUUUGUCUGAAUAUACGCCAGCUUUUUGUCAUGCUGCUAUGGCAGUGAAUACAGACAGCUAUAUUACGAAUAAGUGCUUAACAGGGUAGAAUGAAGAAUUGUCCAGGAAGAGGCCAGCGGUUACUCAAGUACCUCGGACUACCUGGCGAUUCUUCACACCGCCGCGCACUAUGACUGUGAAAGUUUAAAUUUUUGUCGUCUCCUUCCUGUGUGUUUGGUAAACAGUUGAUAAACCGUGGUUGUCGGUGAUGAGCUCACGCACGCGCGGUAACAUCUGCAUCAACCAAACGUAUAGACGAGACACCAGGGUAUCAUAAGUAUAUCAAUUUUUUCAGUAAGUCAUGAAGGACUUGUCACGAACAAAUAAAGAAAAAAAUAUAUAAUUGGGCGACAGCGUUGAAUAAAUACGGCAGGUAGAAACUCUGUGGUGAAAACUAGUCAGUGCCCUCUGAGACACGCCGUCUCUAGUCAGUGAUCGAUUUGGGGGUGCAGUAGGGGUCCGUGGUGUGAACUUUGUGCCUCGAAGAUUCAAAAGAACUCUCAAACAUAAGCAGUUUUCUCAAUCAACAACGGAGGAGAGGAUUGGUAGGUUGUUCACCAAUCACCGUCAGUGUUGUCCUGAGUUCCUUGUUCAUUGUAAUACUCAUUGUUACUCACGAUCUCAUAAAAUCUGUACUCAUUGAGGGGGUCGAAGCUUCGCUUUGCGCAUUUCGCAUAGCGUUGUGAUUUGUUUUUCCGCUACCGCAAUCAUUAGUAUAAAGUAACUGUUUCCCCUCAUGUGAUGUUUUCAUCUCUUAUAAUUUUUAGACUGUUAUUAAUGUACAUACACAUAAGUACUUAGUUAUGUAAGGUAAUUGUUCUUGAAGGGUUGUGGUGUUUUCUUGUAUGCGACUAAUAAGAGUCCUUUUCUGUACCAACUUGUCAACCCAUUCCCUCUGGUGUAAGUAAGUGGAUCUGCCGAUUGCGUAACAGUUAAGGAUCUGAACAUACACAUGAUUCAUUACGUACGCGAAAAAUUAAAGCCUAGAAAAAAUCUGCAACCAGGAGUUAACUUGUAUCUUAACGAAAAAACUUUUUUCAAAUGUACUCCAAUCAAGAUUUGAAGUUGAAAGCAAUGACAGUUUUGUGAAGCAGACUCAAGCAAAAUGUCAGCAAAAACGUCCCGGAACAAGUCUCUUAAGCAAACUGAAAUCAAAUCCCGAAGUAAGAAGGACAUUAUUAUCAACUAUGAUAUUAUAAAUCUGAAUCAUUCUCUUCCCUGCAUAUUGUGACAAAUAAUAUGCAGUGGAAUUUAGUAACUAUCAGCGGAAAUUGCCUACUGUUUAUGCAUAAAGUGUGAAUGAUAUUUCGACGUGUUUGUUUCUUGUGCCGCACUGCGUUAGGUUUUCGUUGAAAUUAAGUUUGGAACAUCGUACAGCGGAAUGAACAUCGGAAGUGAAUAAGAUGCGCUUACUUGCACCCAGUCUUCAAAUUCCCGAAAAGGCCACCAUGUGUCUUGGACGUGCAAGUUUCUGUGUGAUGUCCGCUGCUGCUGUUCAAGUAAAUGCUGGUGGGAACGGAAUUGUUAAGGAACUGGGCAACGAGUUUGUCGAAUGAAUGGAAUAAUUGAGUAGGAUUUAAAUAAACUUUAGUAUAAUUCAGUUGUAUACGUUACGACUUUAAGUGCAGCCUCCGAACGUUAGUAAAUUGAAUCAAAAGAAACUUAUGUAUUUUGGCGUUUUGUUCAUGGGCGAAUAUAUCCAGAAGCAAUUCGCUCGGGUCAAAUGUUGGUACUAAGCUUAACUGACUGCUCUUGGCCAAAGUUUCAGUUCGGUUCAACUUGGUCUCCAUUCACGACGGCAGUUCCCAGUUUCUUUAUGAUUGCGUCCCUCUGUCAAGCCGUUCUUAUCUCGGAGGCCUUUUCCUUGUUCUAGUCCUAUCACAAUAGUCACUAAGUUCCAGUAAAACGUGGGAAACACAAAUGACACUUUAUAAAUGUAUUAUAGUCACCCAGUGUAUAAACGUCAGCAACCGGUCUUGUACGCUAAACAUAUUUGUGGAUUUUAUUGUAUAAAUGUUAUUACAUGUUAUUUACCAAAGACAUUGGCAUAGAGGAAAUUAUAAACCAAGUAUGUUUUGGUUUUGUAACAAAAAGGUCAA
This is a non-coding RNA of Zootermopsis nevadensis, 4956 nucleotides long. The record is from RefSeq and is a predicted model, not a curated record. NCBI's taxonomy places the organism in Eukaryota, Metazoa, Arthropoda, Insecta, Blattodea, Termopsidae.